GACGAACCGAGCGAACGUUAUUCGGAAUCACUGGGCUUAAAGGGUGCGUAGGAGGGCAGGGAAGUCAGGUGGUGAAAUCUCCGGGGCUUAACUCGGAACUGCCGCUUGAUACUCUCUGUCUUGAAUCCCGUGGAGGUGAGCGGAAUAUGUCAUGUAGCGGUGAAAUGCUUAGAUAUGACAUAGAACACCAAUUGCGAAGGCAGUUCGCUACACGAAGAUUGACUCUGAGGCACGAAAGCGUGGGGAUCAAACAGG
RNAcentral lists this ribosomal RNA (255 nucleotides) under uncultured bacterium. Its description in RNAcentral is "partial 16S ribosomal RNA". It matches the Rfam family "Bacterial small subunit ribosomal RNA", at positions 524 to 776 of the family's 1533-position model. The record is from RNAcentral.